GGGGGGGCUAUAAUGCAAGUCGAACGAGAACCAUUGGAUCGAGGAUUCGUCCAAGUGAAGGUGGGGAAAGUGGCGGCCCUAUGAGUAACGCGUGAGCAAUCUGCCUUGGAGUGGGGAACAUCGGCUGGAAACAGCCGCUAAUACCGCAUGAUACAGCUGGGAGGCAUCUCCCUGGCUGUCAAAGAUUUAUCGCUCUGAGAUGAGCUCGCGUCUGAUUAGCUAGUUGGCGGGGUAACGGCCCACCAAGGCGACGAUCAGUAGCCGGACUGAGAGGUUGGCCGGCCACAUUGGGACUGAGACACGGCCCAGACUCCUACGGGAGGCAGCAGUGGGGAAUAUUGGGCAAUGGGCGCAAGCCUGACCCAGCAACGCCGCGUGAAGGAAGAAGGCUUUCGGGUUGUAAACUUCUUUUGUCAGGGACGAAGCAAGUGACGGUACCUGACGAAUAAGCCACGGCUAACUACGUGCCAGCAGCCGCGGUAAUACGUAGGUGGCAAGCGUUAUCCGGAUUUAUUGGGUGUAAAGGGCGUGUAGGCGGGAAUGCAAGUCAGAUGUGAAAACUAUGGGCUCAACCCAUAGCCUGCAUUUGAAACUGUAUUUCUUGAGUGCUGGAGAGGCAAUCGGAAUUCCGUGUGUAGCGGUGAAAUGCGUANAUAUACGGAGGAACACCAGUGGCGAAGGCGGAUUGCUGGACAGUAACUGACGCUGAGGCGCGAAAGCGUGCGGAGCAAACAGGAUUAGAUACCCUGG
This 750-nucleotide ribosomal RNA is filed under the name uncultured bacterium. RNAcentral describes it as "bacterial SSU rRNA". It matches the Rfam family "Bacterial small subunit ribosomal RNA", at positions 41 to 790 of the family's 1533-position model. The record is from RNAcentral.